Molecule: unclassified non-coding RNA, 272 nt
Filed under: Hevea brasiliensis (rubber tree)
Lineage: Eukaryota; Viridiplantae; Streptophyta; Magnoliopsida; Malpighiales; Euphorbiaceae
Source: RNAcentral
CUUCACUCUACCUUACAUUUCAGUCUUAUAUCCUCACCUUCCUUCGUUGGAUUCUCUAAUAUAGACUCAGCUGUAAUUCAGUCCUAUUAUCAAGUAAUAUAAACAAUAUUUGGAGCUUCACUGUUACACGAACUCACAGAUAAUUCACCUUUAUUGCUAGAAAUCCACCGUACUCUAUCUCUUUCAUCUGUGUUACCUCAAUGACCCUUUUUAGCUUAUGUGACAUCCAAAUAUCUCCACGUGCUUGGAUCCAAAUAUCUCCACGUGCUUGG